UGGGGAAUAUUGCACAAUGGGCGCAAGCCUGAUGCAGCCAUGCCGCGUGUAUGAAGAAGGCCUUCGGGUUGUAAAGUACUUUCAGCGGGGAGGAAGGCGAUAAGGUUAAUAACCUUGUCGAUUGACGUUACCCGCAGAAGAAGCACCGGCUAACUCCGUGCCAGCAGCCGCGGUAAUACGGAGGGGGCAAGCGUUAAUCGGAAUUACUGGGCGUAAAGCGCACGCAGGCGGUCUGUCAAGUCGGAUGUGAAAUCCCCGGGCUCAACCUGGGAACUGCAUUCGAAACUGGCAGGCUAGAGUCUUGUAGAGGGGGGUAGAAUUCCAGGUGUAGCGGUGAAAUGCAUAGAGAUCUGGAGGAAUACCGGUGGCGAAGGCGGCCCCCUGGACAAAGACUGACGCUCAGGUGCGAAAGCGUGGGGAGCAAACA
RNAcentral lists this ribosomal RNA (427 nucleotides) under uncultured bacterium. RNAcentral's name for it is "partial 16S ribosomal RNA". It matches the Rfam family "Bacterial small subunit ribosomal RNA", at positions 355 to 774 of the family's 1533-position model. The record is from RNAcentral.